RNAcentral lists this ribosomal RNA (253 nucleotides) under uncultured bacterium. RNAcentral describes it as "partial 16S ribosomal RNA". It matches the Rfam family "Bacterial small subunit ribosomal RNA", at positions 524 to 776 of the family's 1533-position model. The record is from RNAcentral.
UACAGAGGAGCCAAGCGUUGUCCGGAUUGACUGGGCGUAAAGGGUGCGUAGGUGGCGUGGUAAGUUUGAUGUGAAAGCUCAGGGCUUAACCCUGAAAUGGCAUUGAAUACUACUGUGCUGGAGGUUUGGAGGGGGGACUGGAAUUCUUGGUGUAGCAGUGAAAUGCGUAGAUAUCAAGAGGAACACCAGUGGCGAAGGCGAGUCCCUGGACAACACCUGACACUGAGGCACGAAAGCUAGGGGAGCAAACAGG